GAUGAACGCUGGCGGCGUGCCUAAUACAUGCAAGUCGAGCGAACGGACGAGAAGCUUGCUUCUCUGAUGUUAGCGGCGGACGGGUGAGUAACACGUGGAUAACCUACCUAUAAGACUGGGAUAACUUCGGGAAACCGGAGCUAAUACCGGAUGAUAUUUUGAACCGCAUGGUUCAAAAGUGAAAGACGGUCUUGCUGUCACUUAUAGAUGGAUCCGCGCUGCAUUAGCUAGUUGGUAAGGUAACGGCUUACCAAGGCAACGAUGCAUAGCCGACCUGAGAGGGUGAUCGGCCACACUGGAACUGAGACACGGUCCAGACUCCUACGGGAGGAAGCAGUAGGGAAUGUUCCGCAAUGGGCGAAAGCCUGACGGAGCAACGCCGCGUGAGUGAUGAAGGUCUUCGGAUCGUAAAACUCUGUUAUUAGGGAAGAACAUAUGUGUAAGUAACUGUGCACAUCUUGACGGUACCUAAUCAGAAAGCCACGGCUAACUACGUG
RNAcentral lists this ribosomal RNA (497 nucleotides) under uncultured bacterium. RNAcentral's name for it is "partial 16S ribosomal RNA". It matches the Rfam family "Bacterial small subunit ribosomal RNA", at positions 28 to 507 of the family's 1533-position model. The record is from RNAcentral.